UAUAAUUAUAUUAUGUUAUUAUAUCUUAUUAUUAAAUAAGAAAAAUGCAAUUCAUCGCAUCUUCUAAUGCAGUACUGCUUAAUGUUUGUAAUAGAUAAAAGUAUUGGAAGCGAAUGUUGAACUUCUGAGAACUUUCAAUCUAAUUGAUAAGAUAGUGAAUUAAAUCUUGGAUAAACGAAUGCAACGAACAUCCGCUAAUUCUUUGACAAUAGGAAUACAAAGGUAUAUACGUCAAUGAAAACAAGAAUCACAUUUCGUAAAUACUUUAUGGACAUCUUAUAAAACAUAACUAUCAGAUAGCUUAGGGAAUUUUAGAACGAGUAUAAGGAGCUUGAAGAAAUUAUUUGAAAGAGAUUCUGCAUAAAAAAUAAGACAUAAAUCUAAAUUUUUAUCCAUAAAAUUUAAUCAAACCAUUUGAUUUUAGAUAAAACCGAAUCUCAAUUCUGGUUUAAUAACUUACAUAUCUAUCGAUUAUCAAAAAAUUAUAAUCUCUUCUGUUAAAAACUCUCCAAACGAAAAAGUUUAUGGAUGAUCCAAUCAUGAUAACAUAAGUCAACAAUUAUUCUUAUUAUUUCACGCAAAUCUAUAUUGCCAAAGAGGAAACUUGUCUGACUAAUCAUAGUAGAAACAAUCGUUAAAAGAGAAAUUACCAUAUAAAUAUUCCAAGUGACUCAUAAGCAUUCUUCGAGCGUGUUACGUUUCUUCCACCUCCGCCUAUGAAAUACCAAAGGGAUUUCGCAGGUUAACGAGAUCAUGAUAAUCUACACAGCGGAAUCGAACAUACUGACCUGAAAAUUAUCGAUGGAUCGUGCAUGGAAACGUGAAUACAUGCGAAUACGAAGAAAUUCUCGGCAGGAGGAAAGAGAAAAAGAAGGGAUCCAAGAAAGGCACGGCAGGGUACAGGUGCCGCGCCCUGUUGAACUUCCAGUUCGACUUCUCACAGUCGAUUAUGUAUUCAUGAGUGUUUGAGAAGAAAGAAAAAGGAAAAGAAACAGUAGACAUAAUCUCGUUCGAUGCAAAGGAGAUUCCUUUUUUUUAGGCAAAGAUGUAGAUAAAAGUUACACGACAUCGUUGGAAGUUUGCACUAAGAGAUGCAACACGGAUGAGAAUAGAAUUGUUCUAAUCUAAUGUUCUAAUCUAAAAAAUUAAAAAAAUUAAUAACACAGAAAAUAUACAGAAAGAUAUUUUGAAAAAAAAAAUUCAUUGUAAAAAGAAUUUAUUUAUAUCAUUUAUUGAAUUUAUUAAAUAAUUUAAUAUAUCUUCUAUUCUUUUUUUUUUUUAAUAGAAUUAUUAAAUUUUUUUCAUUCUUUGUUUCAUGAGAUUUACGUAUUAUAAGAAAUCCACAUUAUAACUGGACACGCAUUGUUCAAGUAAUAUUCUCACGACUCGAAUGUAUUCUCAUGAUAGCUAUAUACCGGAUAAAUAUAAUCCGCGUCAAGACAC
This is a long non-coding RNA of Apis dorsata (giant honeybee), 1443 nucleotides long. RefSeq lists it as uncharacterized. The record is from RefSeq and is a predicted model, not a curated record. Lineage: Eukaryota; Metazoa; Arthropoda; Insecta; Hymenoptera; Apidae. The transcript has 2 exons.